Molecule: long non-coding RNA, 369 nt
Filed under: Mytilus galloprovincialis (Mediterranean mussel)
Lineage: Eukaryota; Metazoa; Mollusca; Bivalvia; Mytilida; Mytilidae
Source: RNAcentral
CUUCGCCCGGUCAGUUGAAAUAACAUUGGUAAUAUUACUAAGUCAGAUAAUGUUUAUUUUAAGAUUUUUCUUGUCGUCUGACACCCCGAGGCAAAACCUUAAAUUAUGCCUUAUCUAUAACAUAAAAGAACUUUUUUCAUUCUUCGUGUGAAAUCAGGUGUUUACAUUUUAAUUAACGUGUGUUUGUUUAAACAUUGUAUCAUCUUGUUCAUUUCUACCCUUUAAUCCCUAGGGGAAGAUUAUACAUAAUAAUGACUAUCUAAAUUUACAAACUAUAGGUGCAAGCGUCUAAAAAUUACUGUAGUAAGGUAUCAUGUUACAUGAAACUGAUAUUUGACAUAUUUUGUUCAAAUGAUAAUGUCUUUAAAU